GACGAACGCUGGCGGCGUGCCUAAUACAUGCAAGUAGAACGCACAGUUUAUACCGUAGCUUGCUACACCAUAGACUGUGAGUUGCGAACGGGUGAGUAACGCGUAGGUAACCUGCCUGGUAGCGGGGGAUAACUAUUGGAAACGAUAGCUAAUACCGCAUAAUAUUAAUUAUUGCAUGAUAAUUAAUUGAAAGGUGCAAUUGCACCACUACCAGAUGGACCUGCGUUGUAUUAGCUAGUAGGUGAGGUAACGGCUCACCUAGGCGACGAUACAUAGCCGACCUGGGAGGGUGAUCGGCCACACUGGGACUGAGACACGGCCCAGACUCCUACGGGAGGCAGCAGGAGGGAAUCUUCGGCAAUGGACGAAAGUCUGACCGAGCAACGCCGCGUGAGUGAAGAAGGUUUUCGGAUCGUAAAGCUCGGUUGUAAGAGAAGAACGGGUGUGAGAGUGGAAAGUUCACACUGUGACGGUAUCUUACCAGAAAGGGACGGCUAACUACGUG
This 505-nucleotide ribosomal RNA is filed under the name uncultured bacterium. Its description in RNAcentral is "partial 16S ribosomal RNA". It matches the Rfam family "Bacterial small subunit ribosomal RNA", at positions 28 to 507 of the family's 1533-position model. The record is from RNAcentral.